AUGGCGGUGCAGCAGUGUACAGUGGCGCUCUUGGUGGCCGUCGCCCUCGUGGCGGGGCCAGCCGUCUCGUACGCUGCCGAAGCUGGCUACGCCCCAGCCGGGCCACAGCCCAAGGCCACGACUAAGGAGCAGAAGCUAGUUGAGAAGGCCAACAACGCCUUCAAGGCGGCCGUGGCGGCCGCAGCCGCAGCCCCUCCAAUGGACAAGGGCAAGAUAUUCGCGAACACCUUCGUGGUCGGCUUCACUCUGGCGGGGGCCUCACAAAAAGCCCAGGGUGCUACCCCGGAGGCCAAGUAUGAAUCCUUCGUGGCCAUGUUCGACAAGUCGCUCUGCAUCAUCGUCGGCAUCCUGAAGGUCCACUUCGGUGAGGAAGUCAAGGGGCCGAUCCCUGCCGGCGAGCUCAAGGCCAUCGACCAGAUCGACGCCGCCUUUAGCACUGCAGCCACCACUGCCGAUGCUGCCCCGAUAAAGGACAGGUCCACCGUCUUCGACUCUGCCUUCAGCAAGGCCAUCAAGGAGACCACGGGUGAUGCAUACGAGGCCUACAAGUUUGUCCCUGCCCUCGAGUCCGCCGUCAAGAAGAGCUACGCCACGUUUCUUCCCGGGAAUCCCCAGGACAAGCGCACGCUCAUUGAGUCAUUCCUGAGCGACACCAUCGUCUCCAUGGUCGUCCCCGCCCCCGCCACCCCCACCGCCGCCGCCGCUGCCGGUGGCUACAAAGUCUGA
RNAcentral lists this ribosomal RNA (726 nucleotides) under Triticum aestivum (bread wheat). RNAcentral describes it as "partial small subunit ribosomal RNA". The record is from RNAcentral. Lineage: Eukaryota; Viridiplantae; Streptophyta; Magnoliopsida; Poales; Poaceae.